RNAcentral lists this long non-coding RNA (762 nucleotides) under Rattus norvegicus (Norway rat). RNAcentral describes it as "long non-coding RNA NONRATT005429". Lineage: Eukaryota; Metazoa; Chordata; Mammalia; Rodentia; Muridae. The record is from RNAcentral.
CCUAGCAACAGAACCAUGGGGCAGGCACUUAAGGAGUUUCAUGUCAAUGACAAAAGCCAUUUUUGCAAAAGGCUUCAUCUAUCCAUUUCCGCAGUUAUGGCAGGAACACCGCUUUUUGUUUCACUGAAGAUUUCACAGAAGUAACUUGGUUCUCUUUCAUCUCUCCUACCACAAGUUAUGACAAGGAGAAGUCAAUCCAAGCAUUCUUGGAAAUUAAGCCCUACCUGGCAGCUUGUGCAGACCAAGAACGCCUACAAUAUUCAGUGUUUUCUGUUAAUUUUUGUGCAAGAGUGGAGGUGGUGGUUAUUCAUGAAAUCAGAAAAAUGAAAAACAGACAAAAGGCCUUUCAUCCCAGCUCUGGAGACAGGUCAGCCAAGGUUACCUGGAACUACAAGAGACCAUGCCUAAAAAAACAGAAAGGUAUCUUCUUUUUUCAGAUGAAUUCUAUGUGCCCCUGGUAGUCCUAGAACUGAGAAAAACCAUCUUGCCUCUGCCUCAAGAGUACUGGAAAUGUCAAUAAGACAUGGGCCACCACAACAGGCUAUUUUGUAUGGUUUUAAAACAUGCUGUAACUGACUAGCAAAUAAAAUUUACCUGUAUUUUACCAAACUAAAAUUUUUUACUGUAUUUACCAAACUAAAGGUUUUUUUUCUGUUUUACAUGCUGUAACUAAAUCUAUUAACUUUCUUUUUUGUGUUUAGGUAUCUUUUCUUAACCCUUUGUUUCUAAGCUUUCAGAACUUAUAUUAAUGUAUCUUGAAAA